RNAcentral lists this transfer RNA (1850 nucleotides) under Homo sapiens (human). RNAcentral describes it as "HSALNT0259720". The stretch from base 225 to 317 matches the Rfam family "tRNA". The record is from RNAcentral. Lineage: Eukaryota; Metazoa; Chordata; Mammalia; Primates; Hominidae.
GGAGCCUCGACUCUGGAGUCUCAGAUGGCGGCGCUGGGGACCCACAUUCCUAAGUCUUCUAGCAAGGGCCGCGAGGCGUGAGAAUCCGGAACUGGCAAUGCACUGUCUCCUAUUGGUCAAUGCAAAAUGUUUAAUUUGCAUAUAUAACACAAGGCGGGGCCCUCCGGUGAGGUCACGUGGCUAUGAACCACUGAAGAAGACCCCGGCGCAGGGGUGCGGCCGGAGCUCCAGUGGCGCAAUCGGUUAGCGCGCGGUACUUAUAUGACAGUGCGAGCGGAGCAAUGCCGAGGUUGUGAGUUCGAUCCUCACCUGGAGCACUUUUUUUCCCCAUCAGUUUUUAUAAACUUACACAUCUAAUAAACCAACCAAAACAUCUACAUCACUUAGAUGAAUGAACGUUUCUAUCUUUUGAAUUAUUGGGCUCAAAAGACUCCUAGGGCUUUGGCGACGGUCCUUUGGGUGUUCUGUAUUGUAGGGAGGUGCCGUUUCCGUCCCAGCCACCAGGUGGGGGUAUCGUCUCUUAUUAGAUGCUCUGGGCAUGGAAUUGUGUGCAAACAGUUUGACUUCUGUAGAGAUGUGGGUCCUCGGCAAACUGUAUAUGACUCUGCCUCCUCUGUAUUUCUCUGUCUUUUUAAUGCCUCCUUUACAGAUGAACAUAGCUAUCUGUCUUGGAGUUUUCGACCUCUGUUGAAAAGGAAAACUAUGUUUUUGAGUCGACUUGUUUUUUCAAUAAAUAUUGAACAUUCACUAUGCCUGGCUUCCUUUAGCUGUGUGUAAUACAGCAGUGAACAAGUAGUCCCUGCCCCUGAGGACGCGACAUUCUAGUGGGGAGGCAGAUUGCUGUCAACAUAAGAAUUAAGUACAUUUUAAUGUUAGGUGGUGAUGAUAAAUGUCAUGGAAAAAGUCGAGCAAGGUAGGGAGGAUGGGGUAGUUGGAGGUGGGGUGUGGAUUGCAACAGCAGUGGUCAGGGAGGAUCUCACAGAGAAGGCAACUUUUGAGCAGAGACAUGAAGGAGGGGAGUGAGCCAUGGGGACACCAGGGGAGUGUUCAGGCAGAGGGAACAGCUAGUGCAAAGCUCCUAUGGAUGAAGCAGACCAGACUUGGUAGAGCAGCUAGGAGGCCAGUGUGGCUGGAGCAGAGUGGCCAAGGGGGAGGGUAAGCGAUGGGUGCCAGAUUGUGUGGGCUGUGGGGAGGACUUCGGACUUUGACUUUUAUGUGACCUGACUCAGGUCUCAUAACAGGCUUCCUUUGGUUGUCUCGUGGGGGAGUGGAGAAAGGAGAGACUGAAGGCAGGGGCUAGAGCAGAGACUGGGGCUGGGGCUGCUAUGAAGAUGCAAAUGGCAGACGAUGUUGGCUAGGACCAGGGUGGGGGUCAUGGUGGGGGCAGGUGGAUAGUGGAUCUAUUUUGCAGGUGGAUCAGACAGGAUUGCUGUUGGACUGGGGUGUGGAUUUGAGAACAAGGUGUCAAGGGAUACUCCUGGGUGUCUGGCUUAAGCCCUGGUAGAUGGUGAACGGCCAGGCCCGGUGACGUCACUUCCUGCCAGGUAAGCGCCGCGGGGCUCGGAGAGGAAGAGUUAACUGCACCCAGCUUCCAAAAAGUCACCCCCUCCCUCUCCAUUCCUGUCUCUAGACCGCGAAGAAGCCAGGAUCCCAGCUUACACUCAGAUUGUUUAUUUAAAAAUGCCCAAAACACAAAAAUAGACUUUUAAGGUAAUAAUAUAUAUUACUAAAUAUAUUAUAGUCUACUUAUAAUAAUUAUAUCGUCGUUUUCAAUAUUACAAAAAAAGGAAGAAAAAUACAAGGGAAGCAGACGACCCAAUAUAUAUAAAUACUAUAAAAUCAUAUUAGAA